UAACCUGCCUGGUAGCGGGGGAUAACUAUUGGAAACGAUAGCUAAUACCGCAUAACAGUGGAUAUCGCAUGAUAGCUGCUUAAAAGGUGCAAUUGCACCACUACCAGAUGGACCUGCGUUGUAUUAGCUAGUUGGUGAGGUAACGGCUCACCAAGGCAACGAUACAUAGCCGACCUGAGAGGGUGAUCGGCCACACUGGGACUGAGACACGGCCCAG
This 217-nucleotide ribosomal RNA is filed under the name uncultured bacterium. RNAcentral's name for it is "partial 16S ribosomal RNA". It matches the Rfam family "Bacterial small subunit ribosomal RNA", at positions 122 to 334 of the family's 1533-position model. The record is from RNAcentral.